This 62-nucleotide microRNA precursor is filed under the name Drosophila simulans. Its description in RNAcentral is "Dsi-Mir-991_pre stem-loop". The record is from RNAcentral. Lineage: Eukaryota; Metazoa; Arthropoda; Insecta; Diptera; Drosophilidae.
UUUCCCAACUACAUCUAUUAAUAUUUAUUUUAACGUCGUAUUAAAGUUGAAGUUUGGAAAAU